AUGAACGCUAGCGGUGCGCCUAACACAUGCAAGUCGAGCGAGAUUAUUUGUGACACAGAGUAGAGAAGUUUACUUCUACAUUCUGUGUCACAGGUAGUUUAGCGGCAAACGGGUGCGUAACACGUUGAUACUUCCCCCAGAGUCAGGGAUAACCUCAAGAAAUUGAGAUUAAUACCGGAUGGUCCCGUAAGGGUAAAGGAGCAAUUCGCUCUGGGAAAGGUCUGCGGCCUAUCAGCUAGUUGGCGGGGUAAUAGCCCACCAAGGCAAUGACGGGUAGCUGGUCUGAGAGGACGGCCAGCCACAAUGGAACUGAGACACGGUCCAUACUCCUACGGGAGGCAGCAGUGAGGAAUCUUCCACAAUGGACGAAAGUCUGAUGGAGCGACACCGCGUGAAGGAUGAAGCCUUUGUUGGUGUAAACUUCUUUUCUCUGGGAAGAUAAUGACGGUACCAGAGGAAUAAGGGGCGGCAAACUUCGU
This 479-nucleotide ribosomal RNA is filed under the name uncultured bacterium. RNAcentral describes it as "bacterial SSU rRNA". It matches the Rfam family "Bacterial small subunit ribosomal RNA", at positions 29 to 506 of the family's 1533-position model. The record is from RNAcentral.